GACUGUUUUGCUUGUGAGUUGAUGUAGGAGAUGGUGCAGUCCUGUUGUGUCAGAACCUGGCUGGGAGACCUCACAUCCCCACAUCGGCACCCAUGUUCUCACAGGUUAGUGUCUAAGGUGGGAUGCUGUGUCUUUAGAAAUGGCCAUAAGUUAGUGUCUGUCUAAUGUGGGACGCUGUGUCUUUAGAAAUGGCCAUAAGUUAGUGUCUGUCUAAUGUGGGACGCUGUGUCUUUAGAAAUGGCCAUAGGUUAGCGUCUGUCUAAGAUGGGAUGCUGUGUCUUUAGAAAUGGCCAUAGGUUAGCGUCUGUCUAAGAUGGGAUGCUGUGUCUUUAGAAAUGGCCAUAGGUUAGCGUCUGUCUAAGAUGGGAUGCUGUGUCUUUAGAAAUGGCCAUAGGUUAGCAUCUGUCUAAGAUGGGAUGCUGUGUCUUUAGAAAUGGCCAUAGGUUACUCUCUGUCUAAGAUGGGAUGCUGUGUCUUUAGAAAUGGCCAUAGGUUACUCUCUGUCUAAGAUGGGAUGCUGUGUCUUUAGAAAUGGCCAUAGGUUACUCUCUGUCUAAGAUGGGAUGCUGUGUCUUUAGAAAUGGCCAUAGGUUAGCGUCUGUCUCAGAUGGGAUGCUGUGUCUUUAGAAAUGUCUUCUUGUGCAGUGCACACCCUGAGAACCCAUACUUGGUGGCUCUGCUUGCUCUGACUCGAUAUUUAGAAAUCAGUCUAAGUUGUACCUCCUCUAGGUAACCUGACAUCCAUUCACCCAGACACACAUCUCCUCUGUGCUCCCUUAGUACCUGGGACCUGCCUUUAGCUUAGUUGCCUAUUGUAGACCUUAAGAACUCUGGCUCUGGAGUCAAACUGAUAGGAAGUGGAAUUGUGGUUCACUGCUGUGUAAUCCAGGUAAAGCUCUUAACCGCUCUGAGUCUCAACUUCCUCUAUCCACCUCCCCUUUUCCCCCCAGUGACAAAGCCAAUGACUACUUCUUCCUCUUCUUUACUUGGAAACUGAACUCCAAGCUCCUGAUUGGGACAUUUCUUAUUCCUCUUUGUGCUCCCAGGGCUGAAGGACUAAUUACAAUGUUAUUGACUUAACCUCCAUUGGCACUGGGCAUUGCCCUGUAAAAGGACAUCAGAGUGUGGGGUCUGACAUGGGGCACCAAACAAAGCCAUAGGCAAGAGCACAUCACAUUGUUGAAUUUGCCUGUUUGGUUC
Molecule: long non-coding RNA, 1200 nt
Filed under: Homo sapiens (human)
Lineage: Eukaryota; Metazoa; Chordata; Mammalia; Primates; Hominidae
Description: HSALNT0068993
Source: RNAcentral